GGGGGGAGGCCGGAUCCUGGGCUGUGUCCCGGCGCCCUGUGCUCCCGGGCCUGCGCUGUUGGAUUCGCGCUCCCGCCCCGCAGCCCCCU
Molecule: microRNA precursor, 89 nt
Filed under: Canis lupus familiaris (dog)
Lineage: Eukaryota; Metazoa; Chordata; Mammalia; Carnivora; Canidae
Description: mir-8799 microRNA precursor family
Rfam family: mir-8799 microRNA precursor family
Source: Rfam by way of RNAcentral